GUGGGGAAUAUUGGACAAUGGGCGAAAGCCUGAUCCAGCCAUGCCGCGUGUGUGAAGAAGGUCUUCGGAUUGUAAAGCACUUUAAGUUGGGAGGAAGGGCAGUAAGUUAAUACCUUGCUGUUUUGACGUUACCGACAGAAUAAGCACCGGCUAACUUCGUGCCAGCAGCCGCGGUAAUACGAAGGGUGCAAGCGUUAAUCGGAAUUACUGGGCGUAAAGCGCGCGUAGGUGGUUUUGUAAGUUGGAGGUGAAAUCCCCGGGCGCAACCAGGGAACUGCCUCCAAAACUGCAUGACUAGAGUACGGUAGAGGGUAGUGGAAUUUCCUGUGUAGCGGUGAAAUGCGUAGAUAUAGGAAGGAACACCAGUGGCGAAGGCGACUACCUGGACUGAUACUGACACUGAGGUGCGAAAGCGUGGGGAGCAAACAGGAUUAGAUACCCCAGUAGUCC
This 450-nucleotide ribosomal RNA is filed under the name uncultured bacterium. RNAcentral describes it as "bacterial SSU rRNA". It matches the Rfam family "Bacterial small subunit ribosomal RNA", at positions 354 to 796 of the family's 1533-position model. The record is from RNAcentral.